UAUAUUUUGGUGUAUGAGGCACAAAAGUUUUUGAUACUUUUAGAAAUAGUUUAAUUCUAUUAAAUAUAA
This 69-nucleotide transfer RNA is filed under the name Anthomyia illocata. RNAcentral describes it as "tRNA-Gln". Lineage: Eukaryota; Metazoa; Arthropoda; Insecta; Diptera; Anthomyiidae. The record is from RNAcentral. RNAcentral also lists the same sequence under 1 other name.